GGAUGCUGGUUGUUAGAGGUAUCGACCCCUCUAGUAACGAAGCUAACGCGUUAAGCAUCCCGCCUGUGGAGUACGGUCGCAAGACUAAAACAUAAAGGAAUUGACGGGGACCCGCACAAGCGGUGGAGCGUGUUGUUUAAUUCGAUGGUAAACGAAGAACCUUACCCAGGCUUGACAUCCUUGGAAUUUUUUCGAAAGAAAAGAGUGCUUUAUUGAACCAAGUGACAGGUGUUGCAUGGCCGUCGUCAGCUCGUGUCGUGAGAUGUUAGGUUAAGUCCUUCAACGAGCGCAACCCUUGUGAUUAGUUGAAUUUUUCUAAUCAGACCGCCCUGGCAACAGGGAGGAAGGAGGGGAUGAUGUCAGGUCAGUAUUACCCUUACGUCUGGGGCUACAAACACGCUACAAUGGCCGGUACAAAGGGCAGCCAAGUCGCGAGACGGAGCAAAUCCCAUCAAAGCCGGUCUCAGUUCGGAUAGCAGGCUGAAACUCGCCUGCUUGAAGUCGGAAUCGCUAGUAACGGUAGGUCAGCUAUACUACCGUGAAUACGUUCCCGGGUCUUGUACACACCGCCCGUCAAACCAUGAAAGUCGCCAAUACCUGACGUGUGAGCUUCGCCUCGCCCUAAGGUAGGGG
RNAcentral lists this ribosomal RNA (633 nucleotides) under uncultured bacterium. RNAcentral's name for it is "bacterial SSU rRNA". It matches the Rfam family "Bacterial small subunit ribosomal RNA", at positions 811 to 1468 of the family's 1533-position model. The record is from RNAcentral.